Long non-coding RNA from Rhincodon typus (whale shark), 569 nucleotides. RefSeq lists it as uncharacterized. The record is from RefSeq and is a predicted model, not a curated record. The transcript has 3 exons. NCBI's taxonomy places the organism in Eukaryota, Metazoa, Chordata, Chondrichthyes, Orectolobiformes, Rhincodontidae.
GAGGAACUCGGUCUGUUUGAUUCGAUUUAGGUUGCACAGGUCUUCAAGCCCAACUCUGAUUUUUAUCAGACCUGUGCAUUAGGAACUCACGCCAGUCACGUACCUGAGACGGCAGUCUGUAGUGUGAUGGUGAAGAUACGAUGCUAACCAGGCUAUUUCAGAUGCAGCGCAGAACUCAUCAAAGCAACCAAAACAGAUUUACCAGAUACACAGAUGAACCUGAAAAAUGGGCAAAGAUUUCUGGUGGGUGUACAAUCUUGGUAUCAGGGAGGAAUAGCCUCUACCAGCAGCUAACAGAUGAGAAAUCAAGGAACAGGAGUGCAAGGAGGGUCAAGAUAAGGAGAAGCAAACAGGAGCAAAGGGAAGGAAGGCUACAACCUAGAUAGCCAGUUAUUGCCCAACUGUACGUGAAGAACUUGUUCAAGUGUGAUAUGCUCAUUUCCAAUUCAUUAACUCUCGCAUUCAUUUUACAUUCUCUCUUUCACUGAUCACCACAUUGCCCUCUUGGCCUGUUUUAAAGAUAAAAGCCAAUGCAAAAUAUAUAUGUCAAAUCAAAUUUAUAAAUUAAA